CCAAUAGCGUAUAUUAAAGUUGUUGCAGUUAAAAAGCUCGUAGUUGAAUUUUGGGUUUGGCCGAUUGGUCCGUUCUUGUAACGUGUACUGGUCGGUUUGGCCUCACCGCCUGGCGAUGCGUAAUGUUCUUUAUUGGUUGUUGCGUGUAGCCAGGACUUUUACCUUGAAAAAAUUAGAGUGUUUAAAGUAGGCUUAUGCCGGAAUACAUUAGCAUGGUAUAAUAGAAUAGGACGAUGAUUCUAUUUUGUUGGUUUCUAGGACCAUCGUAAUGAUUAAUAGGGAUAGUUGGGGGCAUUAGUAUUCAAUUGUCAGAGGUGAAAUUCUUGGAUUUAUUGAAGACUAACUACUGCGAAAGCAUUUGCCAAGGAUGUUUUCAUUAAUCAAGAACGAAAGUUAGGGGAUCGAAGACGAUCAGAUACCGUCGUAGUCUUAACCAUAAACUAUGCCGACUAGGGAUCGGGCGAUGUUGUUUCAAUGACUCGCUCGGCACCUUAUG
Molecule: ribosomal RNA, 496 nt
Filed under: uncultured Glomeromycotina
Lineage: Eukaryota; Fungi; Glomeromycota
Description: partial small subunit ribosomal RNA
Rfam family: Eukaryotic small subunit ribosomal RNA
Source: RNAcentral